UUCACUUCUUUUGUGGAUCUUCAGUUGCU
Molecule: non-coding RNA, 29 nt
Filed under: Homo sapiens (human)
Lineage: Eukaryota; Metazoa; Chordata; Mammalia; Primates; Hominidae
Source: RNAcentral